CACCAACGCCGCGURRGGGGUGAAGGCUUUCGGGUUGUAAACUCUUUUUCUUGGGAAAGAAAAUGACGGUACCUGGGGGAUAAAGCCCGGCUAACUACGUGCCAGCAGCCGCGGUAAUACGUAGGAGGCGAGCGUUAUCCGGAUUUAUUGGGCGUAAAGAGAGCGUAGGCGGUUUUUCAAGUCGGAUGUGAAAUCUCCCGGCUUAACCGGGAGGAGUCAUUCRAUACUGUUAGGCUAGAGUGCAGCAGGGGAAAACGGAAUUCCCGGUGUAGUGGUGAUAUGCGUAGAUACCGGGAGGCCAGAGGCGAAAGCGGUUUUCUAGGCUGUUUCUGACGCUGAGGCUCAAAAGCGUGGGGAGCAAAAAGGUUUAUAUACCCUGGUAGUCCACGCCCUAAACGAUGGACACUAUGUAUAGGGAAUAUCCACCCUCUCUGUGCCUAA
This 441-nucleotide ribosomal RNA is filed under the name uncultured Chloroflexota bacterium. RNAcentral's name for it is "bacterial SSU rRNA". It matches the Rfam family "Bacterial small subunit ribosomal RNA", at positions 389 to 850 of the family's 1533-position model. The record is from RNAcentral. Lineage: Bacteria; Bacillati; Chloroflexota.